UUUAUAUAGCAGGGAAGAAAUAUGACAAUAUGCGAGAAAACGGGAACUAGAGGGGCAAGGAAGCAAUCAUGAUGAAUGAGGAGUCUGCCGUCUAUCUCAUUGUCUGGUUGUCGGGAUCUGGAUGCAUCUCUCAUGGUUGAAGAAGUGGUGGAGGAUGGCAUGGGAGAGAGUGCCUGAGGAUCCUUGCCUGGAACAAGUUAUGGAAAGAAAGUCUUACAGCUUGGGCUCUAGGAAAAGAGCCUUUUAUCCCACCUUGUCUUCCAGUCCAUUUUGAAUCAAGAAAGACUCAUUGAAGACUCCUUUGAGAAGAGUCUGUUUUGAAGAAGGAAAAAGAAAUACUGUUUGAGAGAAGGCAAACAGACAAAAAGGGUGAUAGAAAUAUGUAUUUUUGUUGUAUAUGUAACUCUAAGAGACCUUCCUAGAGUGAAGGUAGAGAACUGAAAAGGGAGUAAAUUAAGGAAUGCCUGAAUUUUGUGGGUCUUGAUGGAAAAACGCUGGUCUUCUUUUAACGUGGAAAAACAGCUGGUGCUUCAGUCCUAGGAAUUAUGUCUCUGCUGUGGGCAGUUGUCAUAAACUCUUCUCACAAUCCGAGCUGCUCUUUGUCCUCUGUGAAUGAAGGUACUUUUGCUUCUUUUUCAUCCAAGGAUGAAUGAAAAUGUAUAGCAUCUGCCCAAACCUGAAAAGUACAGUGUGUUUAUCACGAGAGCUUUGUAAGGUACUUCACUUGCACUUUAAAAUUCUUUAGUGCUCAAAACCAACCAUUGUGGGUUUUUGUCAAUAAAUACUAAUUUUUCAAGAUGGAGUAUGGUGAUUUCUAUUCAUAUUGUGGUCAAUUUUCUCAAUUUUGUUUCCCAUAGAUAGUGUGAUGGAACUUAAAUUUUAUUUUUUACACUUAAAUAACUAUGCUUUUUGUGAUGCGUAAUCAUAUGAUUUUCUCUUUUCCUUGAGAUCUUAACAGACCUUAUAUUAGUGUAUAUAUCAAAAUAAAAACUUUUAAAUAGUAAAUACGUUGUAAUAUUAAGGAUAUUGAUUUUUUUCUAUUAAAUGUUGAGCUUGGUGUUGGUAUAAACCCUGAUCCUAAACGGUAAAUUAAUACUUGGAAAUUAAGAGUGUAACUAUGUUAUAUAGAAAGCAUCUUGCGAAUUGGUUUGUGUGGGUGGUUUUUAAAUUUAGUUUUUAUUUUUAAUUUUUUUAGUAUGUAAUCAUACUCUUUCAGGAUUAUCUAAAGCACUUAUUGUAAUUGGUUGUUUACUUUUCUGCCUCCCCUACCACAUUGAGUGGGGAAAUAAAACCAAAUGAAUAUUUGGAAUCUAGUAUGAUCCACCCAAUAGUGAAUGCUACUAGGGUGGGAAUGAUUUCUGGAGAAUACUGGGGAAACUUGUAGAGUGUGUGACAAUUUAGCAAGAUGUAUAAGGAUGAGGAGGAAUUCCAAAAGCAGGUAGAUGGGGGAGCUCCAAGAGGGGAGUUUCCAGCUGAGUGCAAGUUGUAGAUCAUUUACUGUAGCAACAUCUUAGAGUAGAAGGCUGGAUGGUAGAAGAGGAGCUGCAGAGAUAAGCAGAGGUAGCUAGCACACAGUUAUGAGAAGUUGGCUGGAGAAUGAGAUUUGGCAAGUGCUCCAUGUAAUGAAGAUUUGUUUAAAGAAAAGAUGUGAUAGAAAAGGGCUGAGUUUUAAACUCCCCAAGUUGAAGAAGGUUAGAAGUUUUUAAACUUUAAAAGUGGCCAGAGAGGGAGCUAAUAGAAUAAAAGAGUAUAAUGGUGAGGGUUAUGCUGGAUGCAAGAAAUCAGUGUUUCACUAAAGAAGAAUGUUCAGUUGUGUCAGAUGUCACAGAGAGGUGCAGAAACAUAAAAAGUGCAAGGAAUCCUUCAGAUUUGGUGAAGAGUUGCCACUGGUAAAUUUGUCCAGAACAAUUUCAAUGGGGCCAGAAAACUCUGGAUUGUGAAGUACUCGGAGAUGAGAACAUGCAGGCAGUGAUUUUAUUUUAGAAGAAUUAUUUAUCUGUCUUUGCCUUUCAUUUAAAGGCACUUUCUCAAAAUUCAAGUUUCUGACUCAAUGAUAUAAUUAUUUAUAGGCUACCUUUCUGAAAAUAGUUCUAUAUGGGUUAAUUUUGUUAAUAUUAGUAUGUUGACAAAAGAAAGCAUAAAGGUUGAUAUGAUUAUUUUCAAACUGAGAAGCUGCUGUACCAAAGCUAGUUUAUAAAAUAAGGUUUUGUAUUUAUGGACUUACUCAUCUACUAUGUUACAGUAGUCUUUGUUUUGUGAAACUCCAAGGAAAUAUUUCCUACACAUUUCAGGUUAAGAAAGAAAAACAUGCAUUUAUUUUGUCUUAAACAUGAAAUAAUGUUUUAAGCAUUCUAAAAAGUACUUACAAAUGGAUUAAACACAUUGGCGUUCUCUAUAGUUUCACUCCAGUUCUUUUUUUUUGUGACUUGUUAUUCAUAGUCUUUGCAAUGCCGCCCUCUAGUGAUCGAUUUCCAAAAAUGCAUUAAUUAACUUGUAAGCCUGUUACAGUCUUUCUCUUUUGACUCUACUGAUCCUUUGCCACAGCCUUUGUUUGGUGUUCUCUUUUAUUGCUCUUCCAUUAGUUAUUCUUAUUCUCCUUUAAUGGCAUUAGGGAAAGAUCAGAAGUUUCGAGAGCAAAAAAAAAAAAAAAAAAAAAAAAGAUACAUAUAUAUACACAUUUGACUAUGAAUCCUUAAAACUUGUCCAUUUACCAGUCUGGGCAUAGAGCAAGUUACCUGUCCAGAGUUCUUACUGGGAAUGAAUGAGAAUGUCUUUGUGUGGCACCUGACACAGACAGCAAAGAGCAGGCAUUCAACAUAUACCAGCUGUCUCUUCCACCUUCUUCUCCCCAACAUUGCCGAGAGUAGGGAUCAGUAUUUUUUUUUUUAAACCUGCCCCUUCUCGUCUUAUAUAACAUCUCAAUGUGUUGUAAUUGCCUGUUUACUUGUUUGUGUUCUAUAACUUCUAGAGGUCAGGUAUCAUGUUUGGCUUGUACAUAUUUGUAUCUAGUAUUUAGCAGAGUCCAGUACACACAGGGUCCUCAUUGGAUACAUAUUUGUUGAAUGAGUAAAUGAAUUAAUGGAUGCCAGUUUUUAACAGGAACCCCAGACUGUGUUACCAACAUUUCUGUUAUUGAUUGAUUAUGCAGAUUGUUAAUGGGUAAUAUAUGAUAUAAUUAGAUUUUACCCAUGGCCUUUCAUAGAGUUAUUUAUUUUAUGACUUUUUCAGUUUAUUCUAUAGUUAUUGCUCUUCUCAGGUUUUGGAUAAUAUGAUAAUUUAUGUUUUCCUUAAGAAUUGUCAGUUUUGUUCAGUUUAAAAAAAUUAUUAGCAAACACUUAUGUAUAGAAUUUUCUUAUGAUAUUUGACUUCCAUAUGUGAUAAACCCCCUUUAUCAUUAUAUUUAUGUUAUGUCUUGUGUUGUCUGUUUUUAGAUUGUAAUUAGAUUGGAGGUAUAUAUGUAUUUUAUUGUUUUUUUUUUAAAGCAAUGGCCCUUACUUUGAAUUUUAUUCUUCUGCUUGCUAACUGAAAAAAUAAUUUUACCUAUGUUUUUGUCUUCCAGGUUUUUCUAACAACUUAGUACUUCCAUUUUUCUUUUUGUGCAAAAGCUUUUAUUACUCUAAAUUUGCUUCUAAAUUACAGAUUUGAGUAAAUGCCAUAUAAUAGAAGAUGCUGUUUUUGUUAUUUUCUAGAUUUUCAAUAAAAUGUAGCUGCAAUUUUCUCAUUGAUCUAAAAGUUACUUGAGGGUAUUUAAAAAUGAUGAAAUGUAUGUGUUUACAAUUGUUAUUUUCCAUUUUUAGUAUAAUAUAAUCAGAGAAUAAGGAAUGUACAGUUUCUGAUUUUUGAGAAUUAAAAUCUUUUUUGGUGAUACAUAUAAGAUCAGUAUUUAAAAUGUGCCCCAAGCACUGACAAAGAAGGUGAGUCCUCUGAAGGGUAUACAGUUUUAUAUAUUUAUUUAUUCAGAUCUCUUUUUUUUUUACGUGCUUCAGCUAUCAUGUAUUUAUGAUAAUUUUAUUAAAGUUUUGUAUUACUGUUGUGUGUUUGUCAUUUUUCUCAUUGUUUUUUAACGUUUUCUUGCUACAUUAUUUGAUUCUUAGAAGUUUGUGAUUGAUACCGUCAUAAUAUAUUUUACUUUUCAUCAAUUAAAAAUAUUCAAUCUUUUCAUUAAACAUUGCUUAUCAUGUGGAUAUCCAAAUGGGAAAAACAAUGAAACUUGAUCCCUGCUUCCCACCAUGCACAUUUGAUUGAAGAUCUAAAUGUGAAAAGUAAAAUAAUGAAGUCCCUAGAGGACAGUAUAAGAGAAUAUCUUACAUCUUUCUAUCAGACUGAUAGGAAGUAUCAGUACUUUAUAAUCUUGAAGUAGAAAAAUGUUUCUUAAACAGGACACACAACUCACAGGUAUAAAAGGGAAGAUUGAUAAUCUGGACCGUUGACCGUUCAAGAAUUUCUGUCAUCAAAAGUUACCAAUAAGAGAAAAACAAAACAGUAACAGCAGAUACUUGUAAUAUAUGUAUCUGACAGAUGGCUUAUAUCCAUACUAUGUAAACUCCUACAUCAGUAUAAAAGACAGACAACCCAAUAGAAUAAAUGGGAAAGAGAUUUGAGCAGUCAGUUCAAACUGUAAAGACAUAAUAUUAACACUCACCAGAAUGGCUAAAAUUAGAAAGAUCAACAGUACUAAGUGUUAGCAGAAAGUGGAGAGCGAUGCACCUCUGUUUUUGCUGCUGGUGGGAAAAUAUAAAUUGUAAAAAUCACUUCUGAAAACUAGCGACACCUACUAAAGCUGUGGGUAUGUGUAUACAUACAUAUAUCCAGCAACUUCGAUAGGAAUUCAUGCAGAUACCCACUAAAAGGCAAGCACAGUAACGUUCAAAGUAGCAUUAUUUGUAUUAGCCAAAACCUGGAAAAAAAAUGGCCAUCAACAGUAAAAUGGGUAAACAGAUUAUGAUAGAUUUAAUUUAGUGCUGUAUAGUAAUGCGUACAGCAAUAAAAAUGUGUGAAUUGCGGCCCCAUGCAACAACAAAGAUAAAUUUCACGAACCGAUGUUGAUCAAAAUAAACUAGACACAAAUACUUACUGUGUAUGAUUCCCUAUAUAAAAUUCAAAAGCAGGCAAAACUAGGAAUUUAAAAACUAUAAAAUUCAAAAGCAGGCAAAACUCGUUAUUAGACCUCAGGUUAGUGGCUACUUUUAUGGAUGAGGAAGGGGCAGGGAUUGGGAAGUGGUAUUGGGCUUCUAGGUAUUAGUAGUGUUCCUUUUCUUGACUUGGGUGGUGGUUACAUGGGUAUACUGACCUUGAGAUAAUUCAGUGAGUUGUAAAAUUUAUGAUUUGUGAGUUUUUCUGCAUGUAUGUAUGCUUGAAUAAAACUCAAAUUACGGUAAGCAAAAAAUACUGCUUUAGUGUGAGGAUAUUAUUAUUAAAUAAUAUUAAAAUAACUAGAAAUUCAGUGAAACUUAACCACAAUUGUAUUACCUAUUGAAAAUGUCAGUGAAUAAUAACCUCUGCUAAUCGUUUGCCUAUAUGUUCUCACAUUCAGUCCUACCUCUUCUCUAUCCUCUGUAUGGCAGGGUAC
Molecule: long non-coding RNA, 5569 nt
Organism: Pongo pygmaeus (Bornean orangutan)
Lineage: Eukaryota; Metazoa; Chordata; Mammalia; Primates; Hominidae
Exons: 3
Source: RefSeq, a predicted model, not a curated record